CCGUACGUUGCUGAUCUACGAUUACUAGCAACUCCGACUUCAUGGGGUCGAGUUGCAGACCCCAAUCCGAACUGAGACUGGCUUUAUCGGAUUCGCUCCACCUUGCGGUAUCGCAGCCGUUUGUACCAGCCAUUGUAGCAUGCGUGCAGCCCAAGACAUAAGGGGCAUGAUGAUUUGACGUCAUCCCCACCUUCCUCCGAGUUAACCCCGGCAGUCUCCUGUGAGUCCCCAACUAAAUGCUGGCAACACAGAACGAGGGUUGCGCUCGUUGCGGGACUUAACCCAACAUCUCACGACACGAGCUGACGACAACCAUGCACCACCUGUAUACAGACCUUGCGGCUAUGACAUCUCUGCCAUAUUCCUGUAUAUGUCAAGCCUUG
This 383-nucleotide ribosomal RNA is filed under the name uncultured Actinomycetes bacterium. RNAcentral describes it as "uncultured actinobacterium partial 16S ribosomal RNA". The record is from RNAcentral. Lineage: Bacteria; Bacillati; Actinomycetota; Actinomycetes.